RNAcentral lists this ribosomal RNA (253 nucleotides) under uncultured bacterium. RNAcentral's name for it is "partial 16S ribosomal RNA". It matches the Rfam family "Bacterial small subunit ribosomal RNA", at positions 524 to 776 of the family's 1533-position model. The record is from RNAcentral.
UACGUAGGCAGCGAGCGUUGUUCGGAAUUACUGGGCGUAAAGAGUGUGUAGGCGGUGCUCUAAGUUCGGUGUGAAAUCUCCUGGCUUAACUGGGAGGGUGCGCCGGAAACUGGGGUGCUCGAGCGUGGGAGAGGAAAGCGGAAUUCCUGGUGUAGCAGUGAAAUGCGUAGAUAUCAGGAGGAACACCUGUGGUGUAGACAGCUUUCUGGACCAUUGCUGACGCUGAGACACGAAAGCGUGGGUAGCAAACAGG